AUUGAACGCUGGCGGCAGGCCUAACACAUGCAAGUCGAACGGUAACGGGAAGAAGCUUGCUUCUUUGCUGACGAGUGGGGGACGGGUGAGUAAUGUCUGGGAAACUGCCUGAUGGAGGGGGAUAACUACUGGAAACGGUAGCUAAUACCGCAUAACGUCGCAAGACCAAAGAGGGGGACCUUCGGGCCUCUUGCCAUCGGAUGUGCCCAGAUGGGAUUAGCUAGUAGGUGGGGUAACGGCUCACCUAGGCGACGAUCCCUAGCUGGUCUGAGAGGAUGACCAGCCACACUGGAACUGAGACACGGUCCAGACUCCUACGGGAGGCAGCAGUGGGGAAUAUUGCACAAUGGGCGCAAGCCUGAUGCAGCCAUGCCGCGUGUAUGAAGAAGGCCUUCGGGUUGUAAAGUACUUUCAGCGGGGAGGAAGGGAGUAAAGUUAAUACCUUUGCUCAUUGACGUUACCCGCAGAAGAAGCACCGGCUAACUCCGUG
RNAcentral lists this ribosomal RNA (490 nucleotides) under uncultured bacterium. RNAcentral describes it as "partial 16S ribosomal RNA". It matches the Rfam family "Bacterial small subunit ribosomal RNA", at positions 30 to 507 of the family's 1533-position model. The record is from RNAcentral.